UGAGGAAUAUUGCGCAAUGGGCGAAAGCCUGACGCAGCAACGCCGCGUGGGCGAUGAAGGCCUUCGGGUUGUAAAGCCCUUUUCUAAGGGAAGAGGAAGGACGGUACCUUAGGAAUAAGCCACGGCUAACUACGUGCCAGCAGCCGCGGUAACACGUAGGUGGCGAGCGUUAUCCGGAUUUACUGGGCGUAAAGCGCGUGCAGGCGGCUUCGUAAGUCGAACGUUAAAUCUCUCGGCUCAACCGAGAGGGGUCGUCCGAAACUGCGAGGCUUGAGGUCGGGAGAGGGAAGUGGAAUUCCCGGUGUAGUAGUGGAAUGCGUAGAUAUCGGGAGGAACACCUGUGGCGAAGGCGGCUUCCUGGCCCGCACCUGACGCUAAGACGCGAAAGCGUGGGGAGCGAACAGG
Molecule: ribosomal RNA, 405 nt
Filed under: uncultured bacterium
Lineage: Bacteria
Description: bacterial SSU rRNA
Rfam family: Bacterial small subunit ribosomal RNA
Source: RNAcentral